UUAAAAUAAUGAAGUUCCAAAAAAUUCAAAUUAUAUUUAUAAUAUACAUCUCAUCAAUUAUUAACACAUCCUUGUAUCAGUAAAUUAACUUUCCAAUAAAAAUUACAUCAAGACAACAAACCUCUGUUACAUAAUCAGUAAUAGACUUUUCAGAAAAUAGGUUUAGCAAUCUACCAUGCAGACACAAGGAAUCUCCAUUACACUCCCAAUUUUAUGCAGCAGAAGAUAAAGUAUGUUAUUAGUAAACUGUAUCCCCCCCUCCCCCCCUUCCACCCCGCCAAAUUAACAAGCAUACGGACAUAGAUAACAUUAUAAAAGGGCGCAACCCUAGAAAUCAAUAUGUCACCACAGAUCUCCUGAUGAAGAUGAGAAGGAAGGAUCAAACAGAGAAAUCCUUCGACUUUUGUGUGAAAAUGUGGAUUUUAUCGAGAACUCAUGUGAAGCAGAAAAUUUGUCAAGUAUGGAUCUGAUGGUCUGGUGGACAGAGCUUACAAGCAAUUGCUGUACUUCAGUAUCUUCACAAUGCCCUUCUUUGCAGCCCGUCAUCACAAAAACAUUCUUCAUCCUGCCUUCCAAGGUUGCAAUCUCUGCCUUCAUUACUAUCAAAUGGAGUGAAUCAAGUGCUUGUCUCAAAUCAGAUAGAAGUCCAGGCUUAUAAUCACAGCUCAAUGAUACCCUGAUUAAAUAAGGGCCAACAUCCAAUCCAUUCUCUUGUCCUUCUACUCUUACUUCAUCAAUAUCCGUUGGCAUGAGAAGACCUUCACUAGCUUCUGCAGCACUCCUUUUUAGUUCUUGCAGAUGGCUUACAACUUCAGAAAGCAAUGAUGCCUUGUCCAUCUUGUUGGCACCCGGUACCAUGCUCCUAAGAGUAUCGAGAUGAGCAUUAAUUCUAGCUCUACGCUUCCUCUCUGCUUCACAAUGAUUUCUCAAGGCCACAAUGCUUCUCUCUGCAGACACCCCCCCUCUCCCUACUCUCACAGUAGCCUCCACAAGCUCGCCCCUCUGACUAUCCAAAACCAAGGAAGAAGUUGAACAUGACCCAUCUCUUGUUUUGGCUUCAAAGCCAGAAUUCAUAGAAAACCCAUCACACAAUCCAUCCAAAUCAGAGGUAUGCACGCUUGAGCUCCCAGAACGAGGUUCCAUUGCUAACAUAAGUAUACUGAAGGGUACAAUUGUAAUUUUACCGAUAGUGGGUGAGAAGCAGAAAUGAUAGAGUGACCAGGAAAGGAAGAUUCGGUGGGGAUGACAAGAAAGACAACCUGGAACGAUGUAGUUUUUGUACGUUCGCAAAAAUCCUAUCCCAUCUUACUGUUGUAGCUGUAACUUCCAUUAGACAAAGAAGAAGAAGCUGCUGAGACUUGAGACGACGUAGAAUGUGGUCAUUCUUUAAAAGGGCAAUAAAGGGUUAAAGGACUGGAGCGGAGCAGAGGUCUAAAGUGGCGUAUUCGGAGUGGCCGACUUGACCACAACUUUUAUAAAUGAUAAUAAAGGUAUGAAUUAUUUUCCAAACCAGUUCGCCUGUCGUCGAUCUCUAACCUUCUCGUUUCAUGAUGUUCUUUAAUUCUUUUGUUGUUGUUGUCGCAUGUCAUCAAUGUCACAACAUCAACG
RNAcentral lists this unclassified non-coding RNA (1608 nucleotides) under Hevea brasiliensis (rubber tree). The record is from RNAcentral. Lineage: Eukaryota; Viridiplantae; Streptophyta; Magnoliopsida; Malpighiales; Euphorbiaceae.